This 686-nucleotide long non-coding RNA is filed under the name Helianthus annuus (common sunflower). RNAcentral's name for it is "hypothetical non coding rna". Lineage: Eukaryota; Viridiplantae; Streptophyta; Magnoliopsida; Asterales; Asteraceae. The record is from RNAcentral.
GUAUUUCUUUUUAAUUCACCAGCUUUGCUUAAAUAUCUCUAUUUUGACCCGUUACAUCUCUACUCGCUAUAUUUUGACCAAAUUAACAUGUUUAACCAGUUUCUUUAUGGUAUCUAUAUUUUGACCCGUAACUAAACAAUACUCAAUGUUAAUCUACUUCACUUUAUCGUCAACUAAUAUCAUUACUAGCUUACCAAGGCAAGCUUAUCAAUCACUUUUAUAUUAAGAUUUUAAAAAAUUAUGUUUUGUUAUUAAGAAGAUUGGUUAAGCUAUGUAGACACAUCGCUUUAGUAGAUAACAACUAUUUCCCUGGUGGGUUUUGUUGGCUUGUGUUAAGGUAAGUGUUGUUAGAAGAAAAUAUAAUGAGCUUAUUAAAUUCAAGUGCUACAAUUACAUGUUUCUCAGUUUUAUUAGUGGCGGAACGGGUCGAAUGAGGUGAAUUGUACAUGUCGGGUUGGGCCCAAACGCCUUGCAUCCUGGAUUUGAAACUUUUUUAUGGAAAACAAAGACACUAUGGAUGCUCAGAAUCAAAGAAGAAUCCGGUGCUUUAUGUAUGCGCUAAAUUGUAAGCUUAGUUUCGUUUAAUAUUGUUUAUGUAAAUGCUAUACAUGUAAUUCGACACAUAUUUAAUAUGUUAACAUUAUAUACAGAUCCCUUUAGUAAUAUCUACUUUCUUUGUAUUUAUU